UUAUCCCUGCUGUGUGCGUGAUGGAUUUUCAAUGUUGAGCCAACGCUUUAAAAAAGGGGACAAACAUACGUAGAGGGGAUGUAGUAGCCGCAAGGCCAGGCAGUAGCCUCACGAAAAAGUUCCCACCUGCAUCCGCAGGUUCAAACAACGAGGUUCACACGGCAUAGUGGGGUUCAG
Molecule: non-coding RNA, 177 nt
Filed under: Anaerolineales bacterium
Lineage: Bacteria; Bacillati; Chloroflexota; Anaerolineae; Anaerolineales
Description: 6S RNA
Rfam family: 6S / SsrS RNA
About the family: E. coli 6S RNA was the first non coding RNA to be sequenced, but its function was unknown until recently. It consists of 184 nucleotides that fold into an extended hairpin structure with a large single-stranded internal bulge.
Source: RNAcentral